GCUCACAUCCACUUCCAAGGCAGCACUUUCAGAUGCUAUCUGCCCACUGGAGAAGCAUUCUGCUAUGCCAGACACGAUAUGGCAGCUUUUGGGCUUGUUGUCCUACUCUGUCACCUUAAGCCUGAGGCACAGUCCUCGAGUCUCACAGAAAUUGCUUGUCCAGCAUGGUGGUUUUAUUCCAUUCCUCUCUUUAUGACCUGUACAGAGCUGUACACUCACUGGAGAGCCAGGUUUGCCCAGAACCAUUUUGGCUGGUGGAUUUCCUGCCAAUAAUAAUAAAAAAAACCCAAAACAACAGGAAAAGCUCAAAGACCAGGUGGCUGCAGAAGGCAGAAGGACAGGUGGACUCAACAUUUGUAGCCAAGCAGCUUGAGAGGACCAACAGUGCCUGCACACCAGGCUGGCUUCACCAGCAGGCACAGCAGAGUGAAGGGAAGCAGAAACCACAGGCCAUAGUGAAGAGCUGAGAAGGCAGCCAGGGCAAGAGAAAGCAGUGUAUAACUUGGACAUCACAGAAGCUGAGUAGAUGGUCAGAUGGUCAGAUUCGCUUUCAGCCACAGCCUGGAGAAAAGUGGAUAUUACAUCAGAAUUAAUCUCGAGCACUGCAUUGAAGAGAGGCCUGCAAUUUUCAGGUCUAAUCAAAAUACAAUAUUUUUCUUUGAAGAACUUUUGAUGCCAUUUUAUUUUUAGUUAUUUUGGAAACCUCCAGGCAAUCACUGUCUAUUCUCUGUGUCAGAGAGGGUUAAAAUUGUUCCAGUAAAAUGAGAUCAUCCCCUCACAAUUCUGCCAUGCCUGAAAUGAUAUAAACUGUGAUAAAUGCUGAAAAAGUCAGAUUUCUUUCCCACUGCUUUUCAUUCUUAUGCACUUCUCAUUUGAAGUGGUGCAAGGAAGAAAGUCGUGGAGUUAUCAUUCCUCAAGGUGCUUUCAUCAAGUCGGGAAUGGAAAUCCUGUGGCAAAGGCUGUGCCAGAAGUAUGGCCAAUGAGAAAGAUUUUAGCUGAACAGUGAGAUUAUUUUAAAGUGCUUAUCCAAAGUGAGUCUGAAAAUUUUUUGGUAGUUUUAGCACAUCCCUGAAGCCUCACAUUACAAUGACACAAACAUGACACAGUGCAUCCUGUUGCCAUCUUCCUGCUUGAUGGAUGAUUAAAAAAAGAUUCAAAGCCCUCUGACAAGUUUCGAAUGUUGAUUUCUGUGGGAACUUUUAGAGAAAUUCAAAGUUGGUAGGAAAAAAACCCUUGAAAAAGCCUGUUCAUUGAGAUGUUCCCUAAAAUAAAGUAGCAGUCCUUUCUUCCCCCAACGGCCGCAGUGAAUGCAGCGUGUGCGAACUAGUGUUGUGAAGGUGGGGAAUUGCUAUUUUAAGUGUUCACAUCAGAGCUAAUCCCUGUCCUGCUGCAAUCAGCAGCUCUGUUGAAGUUGAUUGCCUCAAAAAAAUUAAAUUUAAGCCAAGGAACUCUGAGAA
This is a long non-coding RNA of Neopsephotus bourkii (Bourke's parrot), 1457 nucleotides long. RefSeq lists it as uncharacterized. The transcript is spliced from 3 exons. NCBI's taxonomy places the organism in Eukaryota, Metazoa, Chordata, Aves, Psittaciformes, Psittacidae. The record is from RefSeq and is a predicted model, not a curated record.